CAGUAGCCGCGGUAAUACGUAGGGUCCGAGCGUUGUCCGGAAUUAUUGGGCGUAAAGGGCUCGUAGGCGGUUUGUUGCGUCGGGAGUGAAAACCCAGGGCUUAACUUUGGGCUUGCUUUCGAUACGGGCAGACUUGAGGCAUUGAGGGGAGAACGGAAUUCCUGGUGUAGCGGUGAAAUGCGCAGAUAUCAGGAGGAACACCGGUGGCGAAGGCGGUUCUCUGGCAAUGUUCUGACGCUGAGGAGCGAAAGUGUGGGGAGCGAACAGGAUUAGAUACCCGGGUAGUCCCUGUCUCUUAUAA
RNAcentral lists this ribosomal RNA (301 nucleotides) under uncultured bacterium. RNAcentral's name for it is "partial 16S ribosomal RNA". It matches the Rfam family "Bacterial small subunit ribosomal RNA", at positions 509 to 809 of the family's 1533-position model. The record is from RNAcentral.